GCCGAUGUAGCUCAGCUGGUAGAGCAACUCCAUGGUNNGUCGCCGGUUCAAUUCCGGCCAUCGGCUCCA
Molecule: transfer RNA, 69 nt
Filed under: Candidatus Veblenbacteria bacterium
Lineage: Bacteria; Candidatus Vebleniibacteriota
Description: tRNA-OTHER
Rfam family: tRNA
About the family: Transfer RNA (tRNA) molecules are approximately 80 nucleotides in length. Their secondary structure includes four short double-helical elements and three loops (D, anti-codon, and T loops).
Source: RNAcentral